AACGAUAAAGCGGGUGAAAAGCCCGCUCGCCGGAAGACCAAGGGUUCCUGUCCAACGUUAAUCGGGGCAGGGUGAGUCGACCCCUAAGGCGAGGCCGAAAGGCGUAGUCGAUGGGAAACAGGUUAAUAUUCCUGUACUUGGUGUUACUGCGAAGGGGGGACGGAGAAGGCUAUGUUGGCCGGGCGACGGUUGUCCCGGUUUAAGCGUGUAGGCUGGUUUUCCAGGCAAAUCCGGAAAAUCAAGGCCGAGGCGUGAUGACGAGGCACUACGGUGCUGAAGCAACAAAUGCCCUGCUUCCAGGAAAAGCCUCUAAGCAUCAGGUAACAUCAAAUCGUACCCCAAACCGACACAGG
Molecule: ribosomal RNA, 353 nt
Filed under: Shigella flexneri
Lineage: Bacteria; Pseudomonadati; Pseudomonadota; Gammaproteobacteria; Enterobacterales; Enterobacteriaceae
Description: bacterial LSU rRNA
Rfam family: Bacterial large subunit ribosomal RNA
Source: RNAcentral